This 492-nucleotide ribosomal RNA is filed under the name uncultured bacterium. RNAcentral describes it as "partial 16S ribosomal RNA". It matches the Rfam family "Bacterial small subunit ribosomal RNA", at positions 29 to 507 of the family's 1533-position model. The record is from RNAcentral.
AGUGAACGCUGGCGGUAGGCCUAACACAUGCAAGUCGAACGGUAGCACAGUAAGAGUUUGCUUUUCCGGGUGGCGAGUGGCGGGCGGGUGAGGAAUACAUCGGAAUCUACUUUUUCGUGGGGGAUAACGUAGGGAAACUUACGCUAAUACCGCAUACGCCCUACGGGUGAAAGCAGGGGAUCUUCGGACCUUGCGCGCUUGAGUUAGCCGAUGUCGGAUUAGCUAGUUGGCGGGGUAAAGGCCCACCAAGGCGACGAUCCGUAGCUGGUCUGAGAGGAUGAUCAGCCACACUGGAACUGAGACACGGUCCAGACUCCUACGGGAGGCAGCAGUGGGGAAUAUUGGACAAUGGGCGCAAGCCUGAUCCAGCCAUACCGCGUGUAUGAAGAAGGCCUUCGGGUUGUAAAGCCCUUUUGUUGGGAAAGAAAAGCAUCAGGCUAAUACCCCGCUGUUCUGACGGUACCCAAAGAAUAAGCACCGGCUAACUUCGUG